AGCCUGAGUACGAGGUAUUAGAAGAGAUCGAGGAGUCAUGAUAAAAUCUUAAGAGAUUUAGAUUGAGAUGAUAGACCUUCAUAAGUUGAGGAUCCAAAUGACUUAACUAGAAAGAUAAAUUGUUGAAUAAGGAGAAAAGUUCUUGAUUCAAGAAGAUCUAAACCAUUUUCCACAUGAUUGAUUCUCGAAAGUCAGAAAACACGUACACUAAAUGUUUGGUGCUCAAUUAUUUUAGAAGAAUAUAAACAUAGACAUGAUAUUAAGGCCAUAUAGAAGCAAUUAAGCGUCAUAAAGACCCAUUUGACGAUUAUAAGCAAACCAUAUUCCUACAAUAGUUUCCCAAAUAAAGUCAAAUGAUAUCCUUGAACUUUCAGGAUAAGAAUAGACAAGUAUUAUUGGAGAAUAUAACCAAAGAUGUCAUGCACUAACCCAACAGAAGAAUGUGUAUGCCAAUUGAGAAUUGCGUUGAAUAAGAUGACACACUUAAAACCGAAAGAACAAAUCUUUAGCCAUUAUGUCAACCUGAUAAGAAAGAUAGACUCUGAGAAACAUGUUUGGAUAAUAGAUAGAUAAAAGAUAACUG
This 583-nucleotide long non-coding RNA is filed under the name Carica papaya (papaya). Its description in RNAcentral is "long non-coding RNA (CPAP_LNC016400)". Lineage: Eukaryota; Viridiplantae; Streptophyta; Magnoliopsida; Brassicales; Caricaceae. The record is from RNAcentral.